UUUCUGAGUGUAUUUUUAUACCACGUAUGUUCCUUGAACUAACUUCUUUUCUAGGAAGAACUGGAACUAUGAUUUGUGCCUUCCUUAUUGCCUCCAAAAUAUUUUUAACUGCAGAGGAAAGCCUGUAUUAUUUUGGAGAAAGGUGAACAGAUAAAACCAACAGCAAUAAAUUUCAGGGAGUAGAAACUCCUUCUCAGAAUAGAUAUGUUGGAUAUUUUGCACAAGUGAAACAUCUCUACAACUGGAAUCUCCCUCCAAGACGGAUACUCUUUAUAAAAAGAUUCAUUAUUUAUUCGAUUCGUGGCGAUGUGUGUGAUCUAAAAGUCCAAACAGUAAUGGAGAAAAAGGUUGUCUUUUUCCAGUACUUCAUUAGGAAAUUGUUCGAUAUUGCAUGACACUGAAACAGACAGAGUAUUAACUGAUGUAUUCGACGGUCCCCCUCUGUAUGAUGAUGUGAAGGUGCAGUUUUUCUCUUCGAGUCUUCCUAAAUACUAUGACAAUUGUCCAUUUUUCUUCUGGUUCAACACAUCUUUUAUUCAAAGUAACAGGCUUUAUCUACCAAGAAAUGAAUUGGAUAAUCCACAUAAACAAAAAACAUGGAAAAUGUAUCCACCACAAUUUGCAGUGGAGGUACUUUUUGGUGAGAAGUGACUUACAAUUACGUUGUAGCUGGAUCCAAUUAAGUAUAGUUCCCCCUUCCCCUUCUGGGAAAGAAUUAUGUUCAUUCCAACCCCUGCCACAUAUUCAUAUGUCCUAAAUCUUCCUUGAUGAGAUAUCUGUAUUUAUAUAUGUUUACAUAUGUUCUUGAUAAAUCUGUUAAAUAUA
Molecule: non-coding RNA, 825 nt
Organism: Macaca mulatta (Rhesus monkey)
Lineage: Eukaryota; Metazoa; Chordata; Mammalia; Primates; Cercopithecidae
Source: RefSeq, a predicted model, not a curated record